GACGAACGCUGGCGGCGUGCUUAACACAUGCAAGUCGAACGGAAAGGCCCUGCUUUUGUGGGGUGCUCGAGUGGCGAACGGGUGAGUAACACGUGAGUAACCUGCCCUUGACUUUGGGAUAACUUAAGGAAACUGGGGCUAAUACCGGAUAGGAGCUCCUGCUGCAUGGUGGGGGUUGGAAAGUUUCGGCGGUUGGGGAUGGACUCGCGGCUUAUCAGCUUGUUGGUGGGGUAGUGGCUUACCAAGGCUUUGACGGGUAGCCGGCCUGAGAGGGUGACCGGCCACAUUGGGACUGCGAUACGGCCCAGACUCCUACGGGAGGCAGCAGUGGGGAAUAUUGCACAAUGGGCGGAAGCCUGAUGCAGCAACGCCGCGUGCGGGAUGACGGCCUUCGGGUUGUAAACCGCUUUCGCCUGUGACGAAGCGUGAGUGACGGUAAUGGGUAAAGAAGCACCGGCUAACUACGUG
RNAcentral lists this ribosomal RNA (468 nucleotides) under uncultured bacterium. Its description in RNAcentral is "partial 16S ribosomal RNA". It matches the Rfam family "Bacterial small subunit ribosomal RNA", at positions 28 to 507 of the family's 1533-position model. The record is from RNAcentral.